UACGUAUGGUGCAAGCGUUAUCCGGAUUUACUGGGUGUAAAGGGAGCGUAGACGGAUAGGCAAGUCUGGAGUGAAAGCCCGGGGCUCAACCCCGGGACUGCUUUGGAAACUGUUUAUCUGGAGUGCUGGAGAGGUAAGUGGAAUUCCUAGUGUAGCGGUGAAAUGCGUAGAUAUUAGGAGGAACACCAGUGGCGAAGGCGGCUUACUGGACAGUAACUGACGUUGAGGCUCGAAAGCGUGGGGAGCAAACAGG
Molecule: ribosomal RNA, 253 nt
Filed under: uncultured bacterium
Lineage: Bacteria
Description: partial 16S ribosomal RNA
Rfam family: Bacterial small subunit ribosomal RNA
Source: RNAcentral